ACUAUGACCUUCAAGUUUUAUAAAUUACAGUGUAACUGUGAUCUUUAUCUGUGCCAGGCAACAUUCAGAGAUUAGUAAAACUCUCAUGAGGCUAUACUCCUCAUCAUGAUCCCCAUUUUGCAGAUGAUGAAACAGGCACAGAGCAAGUCCAUUUGAAGUAAGUGGCAGAGCUGGAUAGAAUCUAGAUACCUUGGUUCUGAGCCCACAUGCUUCCAUGUCCCACUUAUCACUUGUCAUCUGGCCUGAAAGAUUAGCUUUAACCUACUACAUGUGGCAAUCUACUCCUGGCUUAGCCAAUAACAGAGGUACAGAAAGUCUCAGAUUUGCUAGAGCAGGUAAAUUUCGCUGCACUCUGUGUCCAGCUGGCUGAAGCUGAGUAACAUGAGUUACCUAAGUGAACUUGUCUGCUUGCUGACUCCAUACCAUCCAUUGAAUGGGAACGGCAGUGGAGGAAAUUUUAGUGGUUGUUCAAUUGAAUCCUAGCUCAGAGUUGUGACAAAAGUUCACAAUUUCUCAAAUGGACAAAGACUCUGGAAAUCAUUCAAGCAACAGUUUUUGGGAAGAAAGUGGCUUUUGGCUGUCUCCCAGUGGCUGACAUGAAGUUUCUGUCUUUGGCUUUACUUUUUUGUAAUUGCUUAGCCGCCGCCUCUGCAAAACCUCCUGCUACUUCAUUCCACACAUCACUAGACAGCCUCUCCUCACGUGCCCUUCCCCGUUGCUGGUGCCCCCUCUACGGGACCAGUACUGACAAAGCUGGAAGUUUUAGCCCUGAAGUCACCAUCUGGAACUUCUCAUAUUCUUGGGGAAACCUAACCAGUUGGUCCCUGCACCUGACAGACAUCACCCCCCGUCUGGCAGGUAAGCCUAUUUUCCUGUGACCUCACACCUGAUUCCUGUUUACUCUCUCCCUUGCCCAUGAUUGUACUGCUGUGUGUGUUCCCAGACCGGCCAGGGCCAGGUCGAGAGGAUGGGAUAGAAUGGCUGGGGUAGGGAAGCAUCAGGAAGUGUGUCUGAGAGAAGAGCUCAGGCUGCUCAGCCUGGAGGGGGAAGACUCAGAAAGGAAUAGCCACUGUCCUCAAGGCUCAGGGCUGCACCACAUCCUGCAAAUCUCCCUAAGGAAGGAGGGUCAGACUGGCUUGAUGGCUCCAGCACAGGCUACUUUUAAGUUGGGGAGUUCCGGGACUGGGGUGAGGAGCCAAGAACUGGCAGGUAAGCUGGGUUUUCCCGAAUCCCAUGUCCUGGUCACACAAGAAGCCUCUGUGGGAUGGAUUUACUGAAUGGGAUGAUGCUCCCAGAACUCCAGCCUGCCUUGCCCUCCCCUCUACCCAGUCCAGCCCAUUCCUACCUCCUGCUUGUGCCCGAAGAACCAGUGGGAAGGAGGGGACGGGAACUGCUGGACAGCUUUCAGCAGCCACUGCCUGCGCUGGUAGAGUUGUGCUGCCUUGAGCAGCAGCAGAGCCAGGCCUAGCAGGGAGGCCAGCUGCAGGAGCCCAGACACAGUGUCCAGGGGUCUGGUGAGGCUCAGUACAGAGACACUCAUGGUUCAGGGGCUGCUGGGUCACUGACUCUCCCUGAGUGUUGCUAAAAUCCCCUGAGCACCUGGCCUAGCCAAUCAGGGGAGGAUGGCCCUGCCCACCUGGAGGGGGAGCAAAGGGUGAGGGCAGAGCUUAGACUGGGAUUCCAGAGUUCAUUAACUGAGAGGAUCCACCUUAGCAAUCCAUAGGAAGGAAACCUUCUGAACAGACAGUGAUAAUGCCCAGGCACAUUCCCCUUUGCCCUUCUCCCCAUUAUUCAUCAAUUAUUUCAGGAGCACCUACUUUGUGCCCCACAGAGUGCUACGUGCCAGGCCACAGUGGUCAGCAAAACAGACGUGAACCGUGACUGCAAAAAAUGUACAGCCUAGUUUACCAAAUGUUCAGGAGGUGUGCUUGGGUUGAUGAUUAUCCCAUUUCUGAGAAAAGAACACUUACGGGGAGCUAACAUGAUGUGGCCAGAGGAAAAUUGCCUUUGAGAGGGCCAACUAAGAUUAGAAUCAGGGGGCCUCCAUACACUCUGCCCCAGCUGCCUCUGCACUGUUCCCCACACUUGUCCAGUCCAUCAUUCACUUGUGUCCUGGGCUGACUGUGCCGGCAGGCAGAGCACUGGCCUCACACUCAGGAGGCCCAGCCUCAGGGCUCACUCAGGACAUAUGAAGCCAGGCAAUCACACUCUCUGUGCCUCAGAUUCUCCUUCUAUAAGGGGGGUAAAGUUUCCUUUGCCAAGUUCCUCCCAGGAGUGCUCAUUCAUUCAGUCACUGAUACACUCAGCAAAUGCUUCCUGAGGUCACGCUCUGGGAGGUCAAGGCAGAAAACUAAGGCAGUACAGGGAAACUUGCUAAGGCCUGUACUGAAAGAGUGAAUAGUGGGCUGGAACAGGAGAGGGGACUAAGACCAUGACAGUCUAAGGGGGGCUGGAAGAGGACAGGAGGACUUUCCGAGGAUCUGCCUGGGUAGCCCCUUCUCUCCCACCCCCAGGGACAUAGGGCCUGGCUGGUACAGUGGGCUGCGGAGGGGCCUGGCAUUCACUCACAUUUCUGAGGCAGUAGACAGGGAGCCUGGACAAAGUUGGGUCCUGGGCCGCCAGUUCCCUUAUGCCCACCCUCUCUGGUUUGGACCCUUCCUCGGCUUCCUAAACAUCUGUGAGCCUGACCUCUCUAAAGUUUGGUAUAGCUGAGGGUGUCAGCAUUCCAGGAGAGGGUAGGGCUUCCUGAGAGCAAAGAGCUCAGGCACCAUGUGGGAAGGAGUACUGGGGCUUGCGUCGAGCUUGGGGAGCUGAGGUCCAUGCAUGUUCUAUUUAUCCGCAAGCCUCCCUGGGAACUUCCCAGGCUGUGCAUGACCUGAUCAUCUUUCCUGUACAAAUCCCAUGACCCCAAGUGUGUUUAAUUUCUUCCUCCCAUGGAUUGCAGAGUGGGCACUGACCUUCCUUGCCCAACACUUUCCAGACCAUUGGUGCUGCCUGAACAUGACCCUUCCCUGCCCUUUCCUACUCUGCUGUGACCUCCCUCAGUCAGGCAUCCCAUCAACUUGGAAUGGGCAAUUCCUGGUCCCCUAGUCCCCUUUCUUACUUCAGCUUCUCAGUAAGAACACAGGGAGAACAUAAGAAAGCUACUGGGUGGUCAGAAAUUGGAGCUCAGAUACAUUGCACUUCUGGGUCUCUCAGGUUGUUCCUUUCUUUUUUUUUUUUUUUUUUUCUUGACCCCAGGGAAGCUUCUUUUCUAAUAGUUUUCUUUUUCUGGUAGAACUCUGACUAAGAUAAAUAUUGGUACCAGGAAUGGUUCUAUGAGAAACAGAAUCCUAAUGAUUUACCUGAAUUGACUCUGGAUUUCUUGAAUUGGUGCUUCAAGAGGAUUAGUUGGAAAGACACUGAUGACUCCAACUCCCAAAGGUAAAGAGGACAAUGGUAGCCCAGGGCCUGAUGCUGCAAUACACAGGACAUCACCAGUGAUACUGGUAAUCAGAGACUUGUUAAAGGGAAGGUUCUGGUCAGUAUGUAUUUGAUGCCUUAAAGCAUUUUAGCCAAACUAAGGAGCAUAAGAAGGUUGACUGGAUAUCCAUGUUGUACUGGAGAGAGUGGGAAAAGGAAAGAGUAAUGUGGAGGAUUAAAAUUCUCUGACCAAAAAAGAAAUAACUGACCCAAGGGACGACUAGGUGGCUCAGUGGUGGAAUCUACUUUCGGUUCAGGUCGUGAUCCUAGUUCAGGUAUGGCGUCCCACAUCAA
Molecule: long non-coding RNA, 3756 nt
Organism: Canis lupus familiaris (dog)
Lineage: Eukaryota; Metazoa; Chordata; Mammalia; Carnivora; Canidae
Exons: 3
Source: RefSeq, a predicted model, not a curated record